RNAcentral lists this long non-coding RNA (383 nucleotides) under Gossypium barbadense (sea-island cotton). Its description in RNAcentral is "long non-coding RNA (GBAR_LNC003100)". Lineage: Eukaryota; Viridiplantae; Streptophyta; Magnoliopsida; Malvales; Malvaceae. The record is from RNAcentral.
UUGGCUGUGUGACAUUUUGUGGAUGCUGACGUCAGAAAUAGAAUGUUCAUGUUUUUGUACACGGGCUAGGACACGGGCAUGUCAUGGCCGUAUGAAGGACAUGGGCCAGGGAUACAAGCGUGUGCCAGGCCGUGUGAAAACCCUGUAGGUGUGCAAUUAGAAUUAAUUCCACAUGAGUGGAGGACACGGCCGUGUCCCUAUAUUGCUUAGGCUGUGUGAGCCACACGGGCCAUCAACAUGACCAUGUUGAAAUGGCCACACAGGUGUAACGCCCCCACGCCCGAGACCAUCACUGGAGUCGAGCUUGAGGGGUUACCGAACAUAAUUUAUCAAUUUAAGAACUUCAAAUCAUUUGUUUCUACAUUCACAGCUUUCUAGCUACU